RNAcentral lists this ribosomal RNA (461 nucleotides) under uncultured Rhodocyclaceae bacterium. RNAcentral's name for it is "bacterial SSU rRNA". It matches the Rfam family "Bacterial small subunit ribosomal RNA", at positions 920 to 1382 of the family's 1533-position model. Lineage: Bacteria; Pseudomonadati; Pseudomonadota; Betaproteobacteria; Rhodocyclales; Rhodocyclaceae. The record is from RNAcentral.
CCCGCACAAGCGGUGAGCAUGUGGUUUAAUUCGAUGCAACGCGAGGAACCUUACCAGGGCUUGACAUCCCGGGAACCCGCCUGAAAGGGCGGGUGCCCUUCGGGGAGCCCGGAGACAGGUGGUGCAUGGCUGUCGUCAGCUCGUGUCGUGAGAUGUUGGGUUAAGUCCCGCAACGAGCGCAACCCUUGUCAUUAGUUGCCAUCAUUUGGUUGGGCACUCUAAUGAGACUGCCGGUGACAAACCGGAGGAAGGUGGGGAUGACGUCAAGUCCUCAUGGCCCUUAUGGGUAGGGCUUCACACGUCAUACAAUGGUCGGUACAGAGGGUUGCCAACCCGCGAGGGGGAGCUAAUCCCACAAAGCCGAUCGUAGUCCGGAUCGCAGUCUGCAACUCGACUGCGUGAAGUCGGAAUCGCUAGUAAUCGCGGAUCAGCAUGUCGCGGUGAAUACGUUCCCGGGUCUU